Diachasma alloeum is the source of this 306-nucleotide long non-coding RNA. RefSeq lists it as uncharacterized. The record is from RefSeq and is a predicted model, not a curated record. Lineage: Eukaryota; Metazoa; Arthropoda; Insecta; Hymenoptera; Braconidae. The transcript has 3 exons.
AGAUGAGACGACGAAGGAAAAAAUAACAAAUUAUAUUUUGCAAAAAAAAAAUCAUUGGAAAAAAAAACAAAUAUAAAAUGAACCGCUAUUUCGGAGCAGAAAAAAAAGGUUCAACGAGACAGAAUCUACUGAUUGUGAGAAAGACUAAGGAUGAAUUUAAUCCAAUAGUGGACUCAAUUUCAAUGCGAUAAAUAAAUCGAGGUAUGGAGCCGAGUAAGUCGAAUGGGAAAUUAAAUCAUGAUAGAUCGUGGAUUGAUUCUACUCCGAUCAUCUCCCCAUGUCCUUGCCCAUAAGUUCCGAAUGUCC